GCAAACUUGGUCAUUUAGAGGAAGUAAAAGUCGUAACAAGGUUUCCGUAGGUGAACCUGCGGAAGGAUCAUUAUUGAAUUUAAAAAAAGGAUGUGCUGGUAGUCUGUUUGAUUGCAUUGUGCACUCCAAACAUCCAAAUCCAUUAACCUGUGCAUUUGAAGUAGAGAUCUUUUGUUGACAAAAGACUCUAUGAUUUUUUAUGAGCACAAUUUCUGUUGAUAAAAAUGCUUUUAUGCAUGUAAAUUUAACAACUUUCAACAAUGGAUCUCUUGGUUCUCGCAUCGAUGAAGAACGCAGC
RNAcentral lists this unclassified non-coding RNA (298 nucleotides) under uncultured fungus. Its description in RNAcentral is "partial contains small subunit ribosomal RNA, internal transcribed spacer 1, and 5.8S ribosomal RNA". The stretch from base 1 to 73 matches the Rfam family "Eukaryotic small subunit ribosomal RNA", at positions 1759 to 1831 of the family's 1831-position model. Lineage: Eukaryota; Fungi. The record is from RNAcentral.